CAGCGCUGAGGACUGUUGGUAUCCUAAUAAAAGAACAAAAUAGCUGUCAUAGAUGUUCUGUCCAGGGGUUGUCCCUGAAGAAACUUCGUAAACUACAUUGCUGCUUCUUCCUGGCCCCGCUGUCUAUAAUGAGAAAUGAUUGGCACUAAGCAAGAGUGUGAAAUCGACGCCCUGGAAUCCAAGGAAAAGACCCGGCAGGCUUGCUGAAGCUGGCCACCCCAGCAACUGGAGAUGGAGACAG
Long non-coding RNA from Microtus oregoni (creeping vole), 241 nucleotides. RefSeq lists it as uncharacterized. NCBI's taxonomy places the organism in Eukaryota, Metazoa, Chordata, Mammalia, Rodentia, Cricetidae. The transcript is spliced from 3 exons. The record is from RefSeq and is a predicted model, not a curated record.